This 461-nucleotide long non-coding RNA is filed under the name Homo sapiens (human). RNAcentral's name for it is "non-protein coding LINC01833:40". The record is from RNAcentral. Lineage: Eukaryota; Metazoa; Chordata; Mammalia; Primates; Hominidae.
GCCGCCCGAUCCUAGCGCGGAGCUGCGAGCCUGACCGGCCGCGUCUGGCAUGGUCAGAGAAAGAAUUUUCUUUUCCCAACUCCGGCUUUUGGUUUUGUGUGUCCACCUUGCGCAACUCCGGAGCCAGCCGACCCCACAUGGAUUCUCAACAGGUGGCCGGCACAUCUUCUGAGCCUCGCUCUCUCAUCUGAAAGUGGAGUGUAAGUCCAAGAAGAUUCAUUUAGACAAAGAAGGUGGAAAAAAAGGACUUUCUGGGCCAGCAAGUCGGAUGACCACCCUCCAAGGGGCAGAGGAGGGCCCAUUUUGUGAAGAAGAAAUCAACUACCCGGAAAACGCCACAGGAGGACAUGUUUCUGCAGAUGUAGUUGCCCUAGAAACAGAAGAGUAUGGGGGUGUGAAUGUCUUCUCUUUUGGGGGCAAACACUAUGUCCUUUUCUUUUUCUAGAUACAGUUAAUUCCUG